This is a long non-coding RNA of Oreochromis niloticus (Nile tilapia), 346 nucleotides long. RefSeq lists it as uncharacterized. The transcript has 3 exons. The record is from RefSeq and is a predicted model, not a curated record. NCBI's taxonomy places the organism in Eukaryota, Metazoa, Chordata, Actinopteri, Cichliformes, Cichlidae.
GACAGCUUCUAGCUGUAAUCACGUGUAUGAUUGUUUCCACAUGUGAAACGGAUGUAAAAAUGAUUGGAUGAAAAAUCCCCCCCGUGGCCGGCAGUCUGAAUAAAGGCUGUGAAGUCGUGUCAACAUGGUUUCAGUUAUCCUGCAGGAAACAGAUGGUCUACAACAGCAGAAGACUACAUCAGGUCCCACUCCUGUCAACUAAGACAGCACAGGCUCACCAAAAUUGGAAAUUAGAAGACUGGAAAAACAAUAUGAGCAACAUUCAGAAGGGAAGCACGUUUUCUUUCUGGCUGCUUCUCUGUGGUCUGACCAGGAACUAACUCAUCCUUAUUCUAGAAAGUGAACC